GACGAACGCUGGCGGCGUGCUUAACACAUGCAAGUCGAACGAAGUGGCGAACGGGUGAGUAACGCGUAAUCAACCUGCCCUUCAGGGGGGGACAACAGUUGGAAAAGACUGCUAAUACCGCAUACUGAAGAGGGGGAUUGCGUUUGAUUAGCUAGGUGGAGGGGUAACGGCCCACCAAGGCGAUGAUCAGUAGGCGGGCUGGGAGGAUGAACGGCCACAUUGGGACUGGGACAAGGCCCAGACUCCUACGGGAGGCAGCAGUGGGGAAUCUUCCGCAAUGGACGAAAGGCUGACGGAGCAACGCCGCGGGAGUGAUGACGGCCUUCGGGUUGUAAAGCUCUGUUAAUCGGGACGCGGUACCGGAAGAGAAAGCCACGGCUAACUACGUGCCAGCAGCCGCGGUAAUAC
Molecule: ribosomal RNA, 408 nt
Filed under: uncultured bacterium
Lineage: Bacteria
Description: partial 16S ribosomal RNA
Rfam family: Bacterial small subunit ribosomal RNA
Source: RNAcentral